Molecule: transfer RNA, 59 nt
Filed under: Cricetulus griseus (Chinese hamster)
Lineage: Eukaryota; Metazoa; Chordata; Mammalia; Rodentia; Cricetidae
Rfam family: tRNA
About the family: Transfer RNA (tRNA) molecules are approximately 80 nucleotides in length.
Source: Rfam by way of RNAcentral
UUCGCUCAAUGGCAGAGCACUUGCCUAGCAAGUAUAAGACCCUGGGUUCAAGCCCCAGA